RNAcentral lists this ribosomal RNA (484 nucleotides) under uncultured bacterium. Its description in RNAcentral is "partial 16S ribosomal RNA". It matches the Rfam family "Bacterial small subunit ribosomal RNA", at positions 30 to 507 of the family's 1533-position model. The record is from RNAcentral.
AUUGAACGCUGGCGGCAGGCCUAACACAUGCAAGUCGAGCGGAUGAAGGGAGCUUGCUCCUGGAUUCAGCGGCGGACGGGUGAGUAAUGCCUAGGAAUCUGCCUGGUAGUGGGGGAUAACGUCCGGAAACGGGCGCUAAUACCGCAUACGUCCUGAGGGAGAAAGUGGGGGAUCUUCGGACCUCACGCUAUCAGAUGUGCCUAGGUCGGAUUAGCUAGUUGGUGGGGUAAAGGCCUACCAAGGCGACGAUCCGUAACUGGGCUGAGAGGAUGAUCAGUCACACUGGAACUGAGACACGGUCCAGACUCCUACGGGAGGCAGCAGUGGGGAAUAUUGGACAAUGGGCGAAAGCCUGAUCCAGCCAUGCCGCGUGUGUGAAGAAGGUCUUCGGAUUGUAAAGCACUUUAAGUUGGGAGGAAGGGCAGUAAGUUAAUACCUUGCUGUUUUGACGGUACCAACAGAAUAAGCACCGGCUAACUUCGUG